GACGAACGCUGGCGGCGUGCUUAACACAUGCAAGUCGAACGGAAAGGCCCUGCUUGCAGGGUACUCGCGUGGCGAACGGGUGAGUAACACGUGGGUGAUCUGCCCUGCACUUCGGGAUAAGCUUGGGAAACUGGGUCUAAUACCGGAUAGGAACCAUCUUUAGUGUGGUGGUUGGAAAGUUUUUUCGGUGUAGGAUGAGCUCGCGGCCUAUCAGCUUGUUGGUGGGGUAAUGGCCUACCAAGGCGGCGACGGGUAGCCGGCCUGAGAGGGUGUACGGCCACAUUGGGACUGAGAUACGGCCCAGACUCCUACGGGAGGCAGCAGUGGGGAAUAUUGCACAAUGGGCGCAAGCCUGAUGCAGCGACGCCGCGUGGGGGAGGAAGGCCUUCGGGUUGUAAACUCCUUUCGCUAGGGACGAAGCUUUUUGUGACGGUACCUAGAGAAGAAGCACCGGCUAACUACGUG
This 465-nucleotide ribosomal RNA is filed under the name uncultured bacterium. Its description in RNAcentral is "partial 16S ribosomal RNA". It matches the Rfam family "Bacterial small subunit ribosomal RNA", at positions 28 to 507 of the family's 1533-position model. The record is from RNAcentral.